Molecule: long non-coding RNA, 1668 nt
Filed under: Numida meleagris (helmeted guineafowl)
Lineage: Eukaryota; Metazoa; Chordata; Aves; Galliformes; Numididae
Description: lncRNA (ENSNMEG00000002680.1)
Source: RNAcentral
GAGUUCCUCCAAAAAGAACCGCACCCCAAGAGCUGAUUCUCUAAAGGCCCUUGUCUUUGGGGUUUCAUGAUGCAUGUUGCAUGGAAAUGUGGCUUGCUGUGGCACUGAGGACGUUCGUUCUGCUUGCAGACUGUGUCAAGGUUGAGCCGCUGAACUACUGGCAGCUAGCGCGAGCCACCGCCUUCCCGCUGCACGUGGUGCAGCUCUGUGUGCAAGAGACCAUCCUCUUGUACUGCCUCUUCCUGAAGGACAAGGUGCACGUCUCGUUCGCCUUCAAGGACUUGGGCGUUCUGACGUGCGAAGAUGACUUCCUCUGCAUGACGUUCUACUACAACUGCACUGCUAUGCCGGAAAGCAAUGCAAGACCGAUUGCAGCGCUCCACAGCUGCUUGCCCCCACGGCUUUCUCCACUGGCCAACGAGAUUUCCUGGAUCCCUGCUCCUGCAGAAAGCCUGGCACUGUUCUUGCACGGCCUCGCUAUUUUGACAAGAUCAGCAGAGUUCCAGGGGCCCUGCCAUCAGGCUGCUGCAGAGGCAGAAGACGCUUCCCCUCUCCGUGCUGCUGAGCUGCGAGCCAGGCAGGAGGCAGCAGGAUGCGUCCAAGAAGCCUUCUGCCAGGUGAGAGCCUUGGGCAAAAUGAGGAAGGAGAUGCGUGAGCUCAUGUCGGAGUCACCUCCCCUUUGGACCUGCCAGCUGUCGGGACUCAGAAAGCCUCCUGACACACAUGCGUCCCAGUGGGGGCCGUUCUCUCAAGGGAUGGCAAGCGCACAGCAUGAUUGCCCAAGGCAGACACGCCAGCUUCAUUUUCCACCCCGGUCCCCCAUCUCUUGGGGUGCUGAAUCCCGAUCCCUAUGGGUCACAGAAGCUCUUCUCCCUUCAGGGGUCUCUCCACAUUGCAACGGAGCCCAUCUUUAUGGUUGUGGGAGCACGAGGGGAGACCAAGGUGCCCCAUGCUCCUGCACACUCCUCUUGGUGUCUGUUUGCAGCGUGCUCCCACCGGGUGCAGGCAGACCCCCCGGGACAAAGAUAGUGGGACAAAAGGAACCAGCUCCUCCAGCCCAGCCCAGCCCAGCGCAGCACUCCCUGCGACGGAAGACUCUAAGAGAGCGCUGCAGGUGCCGGCUCUGCCUUGCUGCAGGGACUGUGCUGCUUGAGAUGGCACAAAUCAUAGAACCAUCGAAUGAUAGAAAGCUUUGGCUUGGAAGGGACCAUUCAGAUCAUCUAGUUCCAAGCCCGCUGCUCUGGGCAGGGACACCUCUCUCUAGACCAGGUUGCUCCAAGCCCAAUCCAGCCUGGUCUUGCGUGCUUCCAUAGGGAGGGGAGCAAAAGCCUCUGAGUGUGCAGCCAUCUGGAGCAGAGCCCUUGGGGUGCCAUCGUUCCACAUCUCUGUCCGCUCCUUCAGCUCCUCUGCAGGAGAUGGAGGGUGCUGCACACCUUCCCUGUCUCUUCUCGCCUCCCGGCCUGCCACCUGGCACAGCACACUGAUUUUGACCAGGGGCUGUGAGAGAGGAACACGGCCAUUCUGCAUCCCUGACAGCAGAGGCCUUGGGUCUCCACAGGUCUCCAGGCUGUUUUUGCCACAAGUUCGGGGCCGCUGGACCUUCAGGGCCAAAGCAGUGCCGGCAGGCCGGCAGAGGCGAGGGGCAGGAGCGCGGAGCUGAAGGAAGGC